GGAUGUGUGAGGACAGUUUGUCACCCCAUUGGUCACCAGGGCUGAUCCGGCUGAUCUGGCCGGCUGGGCAGGUGUCCCUCCCGAAGCUUCACUCUCAGUGGAAGAGAACAGAGGACAGCCUUCCCGGAAUAGAGACAGACCAACAGACUGGUCUUCUGUUGAGGGUACAGGAGUAGCUGCAGUCCUCUGCUAGAACCUCCAAACAAGCUCAGUUUUCCUGAAUAAAGUUUAAAAUUCUUGAAAAAUCGUCCUUUCUCCUCAAUUCUUUGUUGGGUUUAUAUGUAACCAACCUAAAAACAUGU
RNAcentral lists this small nuclear RNA (302 nucleotides) under Erinaceus europaeus (western European hedgehog). Its description in RNAcentral is "7SK RNA". It matches the Rfam family "7SK RNA". From Rfam's summary of the family: 7SK was discovered as an abundant small nuclear RNA in the mid-70s but a possible function has only recently been suggested. Two independent studies have found that 7SK RNA binds the CDK9/cyclin T complex (known as elongation factor P-TEFb). The record is from Rfam by way of RNAcentral. Lineage: Eukaryota; Metazoa; Chordata; Mammalia; Eulipotyphla; Erinaceidae.